AUUUCUCGGUGCCAAGCAUGU
RNAcentral lists this non-coding RNA (21 nucleotides) under Rattus norvegicus (Norway rat). Lineage: Eukaryota; Metazoa; Chordata; Mammalia; Rodentia; Muridae. The record is from RNAcentral.